This 425-nucleotide ribosomal RNA is filed under the name uncultured bacterium. Its description in RNAcentral is "bacterial SSU rRNA". It matches the Rfam family "Bacterial small subunit ribosomal RNA", at positions 356 to 773 of the family's 1533-position model. The record is from RNAcentral.
CGGGAAUUUUGGACAAUGGGCGCAAGCCUGAUCCAGCCAUGCCGCGUGCAGGAUGAAGGCCUUCGGGUUGUAAACUGCUUUCGUACGGAACGAAAAGGCUUUCUCUAAUAAAGAGGGCUCAUGACGGUACCGUAAGAAUAAGCAUCGGCUAACUUCGUGCCAGCAGCCGCGGUAAGACGAAGGAUGCAAGCGUUAUCCGGAUUCAUUGGGUUUAAAGGGUGCGUAGGCGGACCUGUAAGUCAGUGGUGAAAUCUCUCAGCUUAACUGAGAAACUGCCAUUGAUACUGCAAGUCUAGAGUAUAGAUGACGUUGGCGGAAUAUGACAUGUAGUGGUGAAAUACUUAGAUAUGUCAUAGAACACCGAUUGCGAAGGCAGCUAACGAAACUAUAACUGACGCUGAGGCACGAAAGUGCGGGGAUCAAAC